AAUAAAAUGGCUGAGGGUGACAAGCGAUAAAUUGUAAAUUUAUUUACGAGAAAUAUUCUCUUUUAUUA
This 68-nucleotide transfer RNA is filed under the name Amplypterus panopus. Its description in RNAcentral is "tRNA-Tyr". It matches the Rfam family "tRNA". From Rfam's summary of the family: Transfer RNA (tRNA) molecules are approximately 80 nucleotides in length. Their secondary structure includes four short double-helical elements and three loops (D, anti-codon, and T loops). Lineage: Eukaryota; Metazoa; Arthropoda; Insecta; Lepidoptera; Sphingidae. The record is from RNAcentral.